This 784-nucleotide long non-coding RNA is filed under the name Marmota monax (woodchuck). Lineage: Eukaryota; Metazoa; Chordata; Mammalia; Rodentia; Sciuridae. The record is from RNAcentral.
CACCUGCGCACCCUGCUUCACUGCCAUCACCCUAUAAUCUGUGCUCAGGAGAAUAACCAUGAAUGUAAUGUUUUACAGCAUCAAGUUAGUUCAUGUUAUAUCUCCACUACAGCCCUCCAAGGGCUUUGCACUGCCCUCUGGGUAAGAAGCAAAGGCCUUACCAUAGCAGAUGAGGACCUAAAUGACCUGCCCACUACCUCCCUGAGCCCUCAUCCACCCAGCUCCCACACACACUGUGCUGCUGCUGCACAGAUACCUCCAGUGCUCAGUCUGCCUGCUUCAGCCACAGGCCUUUGCCUCACGCUUCCCUACUGGGACACUGUCCACUUCCUCCCUUCAGUCUCUGCCUAUUUGCCACCUGGCAGCAAUCAUCCUACUCACAAUAGCAGCCCUCCCACCCCCAUGCUCCUUCUCCCUCUCCCGCCUCCUUGCUGCUAUUUCUUUUCCAGCACUUGGACACACUGCAUUUACUUGCUUGUCUGUUUACUAUUGGUCAUCCAGGGAGUUUAUCUGUUUUAUUCACUUCUAUGUCCUCAACACUUACACCCAGGCCUGGAUUACUUGCCAUUAGUAGGUGUAUUAGUCAACUUUCUGUUGCUGUGAAAAAUACUCAGCUUAUAAAGAGGAAAGGUUAGCUAGGCCUGGUGGUGCAUGCCAAUAAUCCCAGCAACUUGGGAGGUUGAGGCAGUUGCCAGCCUGGGCAGUUAGCAAGACCCUGUCUCAAAAUAAAGGGCUUUGGACACAGCUCAUUGGUAAAGCAUCUGCCUACCCUGCAUGAGGCCCU